UUGUAGCCUGCUAUGGUAUAACUUAGUGGCAGACGGGUGAGUAAUAUAUAGGAAUCUACCUAGUAGUACGGAAUAAUUGUUGGAAACGGCAACUAAUACCGUAUACGCCCUACGGGGGAAAAAUUUAUUGCUAUUAGAUGAGCCUAUAUUAGAUUAGCUAGUUGGUGGAGUAAUAGCCUACCAAGGCAAUGAUCUAUAGCUGAUCUGAGAGGAUGAUCAGCCACACUGGAACUGAGAUACGGUCCAGACUCCUACGGGAGGCAGCAGUGGGGAAUAUUGGACAAUGGGCGAAAGCCUGAUCCAGCCAUGCCGCAUGAGUGAAGAAGGCCUUUGGGUUGUAAAGCUCUUUUAGUGAGGAAGAUAAUGACGGUACUCACAGAAGAAGUCCUGGCUAACUCCGUGCCAGCAGCCGCGGUAAUACGGAGAGGGCUAGCGUUAUUCGGAAUUAUUGGGCGUAAAGGGCGCGUAGGCUGGUUAGUAAGUUAAAAGUGAAAUCCCGAGGCUUAACCUUGGAACUGCUUUUAAAACUUCUAACCUAGAGAUUGAAAGAGGAUAGAGGAAUUCCUAGUGUAGAGGUGAAAUUCGUAAAUAUUAGGAGGAACACCAGUGGCGAAGGCGUCUAUCUGGUUCAAAUCUGACGCUGAGGCGCGAAGGCGUGGGGAGCAAACAGGAUUAGAUACCCUGGUAGUCCACGCUGUAAACGAUGAAUGUUAAAUAUGGGAAGUUUACUUUCUGUAUUACAGCUAACGCGUUAAACAUUCCGCCUGGGGACUACGGUCGCAAGAUUAAAACUCAAAGGAAUUGACGGGGACCCGCACAAGCGGUGGAGCAUGUGGUUUAAUUCGAUGCAACGCGAAAAACCUUACCACUCCUUGACAUGAAAAUCAUACCUAUUC
This 896-nucleotide ribosomal RNA is filed under the name Wolbachia endosymbiont of Formica cinerea. Its description in RNAcentral is "bacterial SSU rRNA". It matches the Rfam family "Bacterial small subunit ribosomal RNA", at positions 73 to 1002 of the family's 1533-position model. Lineage: Bacteria; Pseudomonadati; Pseudomonadota; Alphaproteobacteria; Rickettsiales; Anaplasmataceae. The record is from RNAcentral.